Molecule: ribosomal RNA, 468 nt
Filed under: uncultured bacterium
Lineage: Bacteria
Description: partial 16S ribosomal RNA
Rfam family: Bacterial small subunit ribosomal RNA
Source: RNAcentral
GACGAACGCUGGCGGCGUGCUUAACACAUGCAAGUCGAACGGAAAGGCCCUGCUUUUGUGGGGUGCUCGAGUGGCGAAAGGGUGAGUAACACGUGAGUAACCUGCCCUUGACUUUGGGAUAACUUCAGGAAACUGGGGCUAAUACCGGAUAGGAGCUCCUGCUGCAUGGUGGGGGUCGGAAAGUUUCGGCGGUUGGGGAUGGACUCGCGGCUUAUCAGCUUGUUGGUGGGGUAGUGGCUUACCAAGGCUUUGACGGGUAGCCGGCCUGAGAGGGUGACCGGCCACAUUGGGACUGAGAUACGGCCCAGACUCCUACGGGAGGCAGCAGUGGGGAAUAUUGCACAAUGGGCGGAAGCCUGAUGCAGCAACGCCGCGUGCGGGAUGACGGCCUUCGGGUUGUAAACCGCUUUCGCCUGUGACGAAGCGUGAGUGACGGUAAUGGGUAAAGAAGCACCGGCUAACUACGUG